AGGGUUUGAUUAUGGCUCAGGAUGAACGCUAGCGGGAGGCUUAACACAUGCAAGUCGAGGGGUAAGGUUCUCUUCGGAGAAUACACGACCGGCGCACGGGUGAGUAACGCGUAUGUAACCUACCUAUAACACAAGGAUAGCUCCCGGAAACGGGAAUUAAUACUUGAUGACAUUCACAGAUGGCAUCAUCAAUGAAUCAAAGUUCCGGCGGUUAUAGAUGGGCAUGCGUGACAUUAGCUAGUUGGUGAGGUAACGGCUCACCAAGGCGACGAUGUCUAGGGGGUCUGAGAGGAUGAUCCCCCACACUGGUACUGAGACACGGACCAGACUCCUACGGGAGGCAGCAGUGAGGAAUAUUGCGCAAUGGAGGAAACUCUGACGCAGCCAUCCCGCGUGCAGGAUUGACGGCCCUAUGGGUUGUAAACUGCUUUUCUAUACCAAGAACUACAUCUACGUGUAGGUGUUUGCCGGUAGUAUAGGAAUAAGCAUCGGCUAACUCCGUGCCAGCAGCCGCGGUAAUACGGAGGAUGCAAGCGUUAUCCGGAAUCACUGGGUUUAAAGGGUGCGCAGGCGGAAUAGUAAGUCAGAGGUGAAAGCCCACAGCUCAACUGUGGAAUUGCCUUUGAUACUGUUAUUCUUGAGUGUAGUUGAAGUAGGCGGAAUAUAGCAUGUAGCGGUGAAAUGCAUAGAUAUGCUAUAGAACACCAAUUGCGAAGGCAGCUUGCUAAACUAUAACUGACGCUGAGGCACGAAAGCGUGGGGAGCGAACAGGAUUAGAUACCCUGGUAGUCCACGCCGUAAACGAUGAACACUCGCUGUUGGCAAUACACCGUCAGCGGCUGAGCGAAAGCGUUAAGUGUUCCACCUGGGAAGUACGAUCGCAAGGUUGAAACUCAAAGGAAUUGACGGGGGCCCGCACAAGCGGAGGAGCAUGUGGUUUAAUUCGAUGAUACGCGAGGAACCUUACCUGGGCUUAAAUGUAUAUUGACGUACUGAGAAAUCAGUAUUUCUUCGGACAAUUUACAAGGUGCUGCAUGGUUGUCGUCAGCUCGUGCCGUGAGGUGUCGGGUUAAGUCCCAUAACGAGCGCAACCCCUACUUCUAGUUACCAGCAUUUCGGAUGGGGACUCUAGAGGAACUGCCUACGCAAGUAGAGAGGAAGGUGGGGAUGACGUCAAAUCAGCACGGCCCUUAUGUCCAGGGCUACACACGUGCUACAAUGGCCGGUACAGAGGGCAGCUACAUAGCAAUAUGAUGCUAAUCUCAAAAGCCGGUCUCAGUCCGGAUUGGAGUCUGCAACUCGACUCCAUGAAGCUGGAUUCGCUAGUAAUCGCACAUCAGCCAUGGUGCGGUGAAUACGUUCCCGGGCCUUGUACACACCGCCCGUCAAGCCAUGGAAGUUGGGGGUACCUGAAGUCGAUUGCCGCAAGGCGUUGCCUAGGGUAAAACCAAUGACUGGGGCUAAGUCGUAACAAGGUAGCC
This 1481-nucleotide ribosomal RNA is filed under the name uncultured organism. RNAcentral's name for it is "bacterial SSU rRNA". It matches the Rfam family "Bacterial small subunit ribosomal RNA". The record is from RNAcentral.